Long non-coding RNA from Lathyrus oleraceus (garden pea), 1068 nucleotides. RefSeq lists it as uncharacterized. The transcript is spliced from 2 exons. Lineage: Eukaryota; Viridiplantae; Streptophyta; Magnoliopsida; Fabales; Fabaceae. The record is from RefSeq and is a predicted model, not a curated record.
CCUCACGCCACUCACUCUCCACCUCACUCUCUAAAACAGAAAAUCUCCCCCCACUCAGUAUGCCCUCACUCCAUUUCACACGCUCCCGCAAAAAAAUCGGUUCUCCAUUCUGAAAACGGAUUCUCCCACAAAAACCCUCUUCACUCACUCUCAAAACCCUCACUCAACAACCUUCAAUCCUCACAAUCCCUUCAUCUUCCUCAUCUCUCGGCCAUUCUUCAGACCUUCAACCGCCGCCACGGAUUCACCACCGCGAACAACCUAAAACCACCACACGAACCACAACAAUCGCCUCUACCGCCGCUAAACCCUUCUUCCUCUCUCACUCAACAACCUUCACUCGCCAACAGCCACUACACCUCUCUCUCAAUAACUCCCUCACGCUACUUCUCCCUACCUCUUCCUCUUCACCUUCAAAACAAACCCUUCAAAAUCAACCACAGAACCACCGAUCUGCAAGUUCCUUCACGCCGGUACUCAGCUUCGACCACUCCCGAUGGAUCCCGCCGUAAAUCACCACGCUUUCUAUUCCAGCAAGAGUCCAAACACGAUGCUACAACAACAACAAACCCUCUCUUAGCUCUUCGACAUCGGUGCGGGCCCAGAUCCUCACGCAUGCAACAAACUCGGUUUUCGUUUACGGAUUCUAUUGUCAUGCUGGCUAUAUGGUGUCUAAAUCCGUUUCGAUUCCGUAUACUUUUAUGUCGAAGUAUAUUUUGGGGUGAGUGUACAUUUGUGUCAAUACUACAAUAGCCCUGUAUAUAAUCACAAUUUGCGGUGAUACACUUUGAUACCAUUUUAUUGUACAUAUUCAACGUAUAUCAUGAUUCUUGAUUAUGACUUGUUUUGGCUAUAUCACAAGGACUUGUUUUGUAUUGCCUGUGAAGUUUAUAGUUAUUGUAGUAUCUCGUUCAUUUUCAUUUGAAUUGAGAUUUGGUUAUGAAUACCAAUGUGCUUAUACACAACUUAUGCGAGUUUCAGUUUGGAUUGUAUUUGGGAAGAUAUUUUAAGUGGGAACUGUAUUAAAAUUCUGCUCUUGAAUUAUUAGAUUAGUUUGUAGUUGGAUCA